CAUACCUAUUCGAAGGGAUAGGGUCGGUUUGGCCGGAUUUCACACAGGUGUUGCAUGGCUGUCGUCAGCUCGUGUCGUGAGAUGUUGGGUUAAGUCCCGCAACGAGCGCAACCCUCAUCCUUAGUUACCAUCAGGUUAUGCUGGGGACUUUAAGGAAACUGCCAGUGAUAAACUGGAGGAAGGUGGGGAUGAUGUCAAGUCAUCAUGGCCCUUAUGGAGUGGACUACACACGUGCUACAAUGGUGAUUACAAUGGGCUGCAAGGUCGCAAGGCUGAGCUAAUCCUAAAAAAUCAUCUCAGUUCGGAUUGUUCUCUGCAACUCGAGAGCAUGAAGUUGGAAUCGCUAGUAAUCGUGGAUCAGCAUGCCACGGUGAAUACGUUCUCGGGUCUUGUACACACUGCCCGUCACGCCAUGGGAAUUGGUUUCACUCGAAGCU
RNAcentral lists this ribosomal RNA (437 nucleotides) under Wolbachia pipientis. RNAcentral's name for it is "bacterial SSU rRNA". It matches the Rfam family "Bacterial small subunit ribosomal RNA", at positions 992 to 1428 of the family's 1533-position model. Lineage: Bacteria; Pseudomonadati; Pseudomonadota; Alphaproteobacteria; Rickettsiales; Anaplasmataceae. The record is from RNAcentral.